This 468-nucleotide ribosomal RNA is filed under the name uncultured bacterium. Its description in RNAcentral is "partial 16S ribosomal RNA". It matches the Rfam family "Bacterial small subunit ribosomal RNA", at positions 28 to 507 of the family's 1533-position model. The record is from RNAcentral.
GACGAACGCUGGCGGCGUGCUUAACACAUGCAAGUCGAACGGAAAGGCCCUGCUUUUGUGGGGUGCUCGAGUGGCGAACGGGUGAGUAACACGUGAGUCACCUUCCCUUUACUUUGGGAUAACUUCAGGAAACUGGGGCUAAUACCGGCUAGGAGCUCCUGCUGCAUGGUGGGGGUUGGAAAGUUUCGGCGGUUGGGGAUGGACUGGCGGCUUAUCAGCUUGUUGGUGGGGUAGUGGCUUACCAAGGCUUUGACGGGUGGCCGGCCUGAGAGGGUGACCGGCCACAUUGGGACUGAGAGACGGCCCAGACUCCUACGGGAGGCAGCAGUGGGGAAUAUUGCACAAUGGGCGGAAGCCUGAUGCAGCAACGCCGCGUGCGGGAUGAAGGCCUUCGGGUUGUAAACCGCUUUCGCCUGUGACGAAGCGUGAGUGACGGUAAUGGGUAAAGAAGCACCGGCUAACUACGUG